RNAcentral lists this unclassified non-coding RNA (198 nucleotides) under Tephrocybe mephitica. RNAcentral describes it as "partial internal transcribed spacer 2". The record is from RNAcentral. Lineage: Eukaryota; Fungi; Basidiomycota; Agaricomycetes; Agaricales; Lyophyllaceae.
AAUUCUCAACCUUUCCUGUUUUUAUUAACUGGUCAGGCUUGGAUGUGGGGGUUGCGGGCUUCUCAGAAGUCGGCUCUCCUUAAAUGUAUUAGCGAAACCUUUGUUGACCAUCUCUGGUGUGAUAAUUAUCUACGCCACAGAGAAUCAGCUUUAUUAUGGGGUUCUGCUUCUAACCGUCCUUUUGGACAACUUCUGACA